GACAGAGGCCUCGAGCGUUAGGCGGAAUCACUGGGCUUAAAGCGUGUGUAGGCGGGCCCGUAAGUGUCUUGUGGAAUCCCACGGCUCAACCGUGGAACUGCUGGGCAUACUGCGGGUCUUGGGCCAACUAGGGGCAGCCGGAACAAGCGGUGGAGCGGUGAAAUGCGUAGAUAUCGCUUGGAACGCCGAAGGUGAAAACAGGCUGCUGGGGUUGCGCCGACGCUGAGACACGAAAGCCAGGGGAGCAAACGGG
This 253-nucleotide ribosomal RNA is filed under the name uncultured bacterium. RNAcentral's name for it is "partial 16S ribosomal RNA". It matches the Rfam family "Bacterial small subunit ribosomal RNA", at positions 524 to 776 of the family's 1533-position model. The record is from RNAcentral.